RNAcentral lists this ribosomal RNA (321 nucleotides) under uncultured Pseudomonadota bacterium. RNAcentral's name for it is "bacterial SSU rRNA". It matches the Rfam family "Bacterial small subunit ribosomal RNA", at positions 30 to 351 of the family's 1533-position model. The record is from RNAcentral. Lineage: Bacteria; Pseudomonadati; Pseudomonadota.
AUUGAACGCUGGCGGCAUGCCUUACACAUGCAAGUCGAACGGCAGCACGGGAGCAAUCCUGGUGGCGAGUGGCGAACGGGUGAGUAAUAUAUCGGAACGUGCCCAGUCGUGGGGGAUAACGCAGCGAAAGUUGUGCUAAUACCGCAUACGAUCUAUGGAUGAAAGCGGGGGAUCGCAAGACCUCGCGCGAUUGGAGCGGCCGAUAUCAGAUUAGGUUGUUGGUGAGGUAAAAGCUCACCAAGCCUGCGAUCUGUAGCUGGUCUGAGAGGACGACCAGCCACACUGGAACUGAGACACGGUCCAGACUCCUACGGGUGGCAG